This 379-nucleotide ribosomal RNA is filed under the name marine Metazoa environmental sample. RNAcentral describes it as "SSU rRNA". It matches the Rfam family "Eukaryotic small subunit ribosomal RNA", at positions 587 to 972 of the family's 1831-position model. The record is from RNAcentral. Lineage: Eukaryota; Metazoa.
AGCUCCAAUAGCGUAUAUUAAAGUUGUUGCAGUUAAAAAGCUCGUAGUUGGAUUUCGGAAUGGGCCAGUUGGUCCGCCGCAAGGUGAGUUACUGACUGGUUUGUUCUUCUUCGCAAAGACUGCGUGUGCUCUUUACUGAGUGUACGUAGGAUUUACGACGUUUACUUUGAAAAAAUUAGAGUGUUCAAAGCAGGCUAUCGCUUGAAUACAUGAGCAUGGAAUAAUGGAAUAGGACUUUGGGUCUAUUUUGUUGGUUUCUAGGACCGAAGUAAUGAGUAAGAGGGACAAUUGGGGGAAACCGUAUUUCGUUGUCAGAGGUGAAAUUCUUGGAUUUACGAAAGACGAACAACUGCGAAAGCACUUGCCAAGAGUGUUUUCA